This 944-nucleotide ribosomal RNA is filed under the name Candidatus Omnitrophota bacterium. RNAcentral's name for it is "bacterial SSU rRNA". It matches the Rfam family "Bacterial small subunit ribosomal RNA", at positions 1 to 912 of the family's 1533-position model. The record is from RNAcentral. Lineage: Bacteria; Pseudomonadati; Candidatus Omnitrophota.
UGUUCUGAGGGUUUGAUCCUAGCUCAGGACGAACGCUGGCGGUGUGCCUAAGACAUGCAAGUCGAGCGACGAAACUGAUUCUUUUCUUAGCAAUAGGAGAAGAGUUGGUGGAAAGCGGCAAACGGGUGAGUAAUACCUGGAUAAUCUGCCUUUUAGUGGGGGAUAACUCUGCGAAAGCGGGGCUAAUACCGCAUAAAACUCUUUUUCGCAAGGAAAGGAGCCAAAGGUUUUCGGAGCAAUCCGAAAGAUCACUGAAAGAUGAGUCCGGGUCCCAUCAGCUAGUUGGCGGGGUAACGGCCCACCAAGGCUAUGACGGGUAGCUGGUCUGAGAGGAUGGUCAGCCACACUGGGAUUGAGAUACGGCCCAGACUCCUACGGGAGGCAGCAGUCGGGAAUAUUGGACAAUGCCCUAACGGGUGAUCCAGCGACACCGCGUGGAGGAUGAAGGUCUUCGGAUCGUAAACUCCUGUCGGGUGGGACGAAGUUUCGACGCAAGUCGGAAUUGACGGUACCACCGGAGGAAGUCCCGGCUAAUUCCGUGCCAGCAGCCGCGGUAAGACGGAAGGGGCAAGCGUUGUCCGGAUUGACUGGGUGUAAAGGGCGUGUAGGUGGUUUGACGGGUCCAGCAUUAAAUACCCCGGCCUAACCGGGGAAGUGUGCUGGAAACUAUCAAGACUUGAGUCUGAAAAAGGAGAGCGGAACUCUUGGUGUAACGGUGAAAUGUGUAGAUAUCAGGAGGAACACCGGUGGCGAAGGCGGCUCUCUAGUUCAAGACUGACACUGAGGCGCGAAAGCCGGGGGAGCAAACAGGAUUAGAUACCCUGGUAGUCCCGGCCCUAAACGAUGGGUGUUAGGCAUUAGCCUUUCGGGGUUAGUGUCGUAGCUAACGCGUUAAACACCCCACCUGGGAAGUACGGUCGCAAGGCUGAAACUCAAAGGAAUUG